CCCUUAGAUGUUCUGGGCUGCACGCGCGCUACACUGACGCACGCAACGGGUGCCUGCUCCGAGAGGACUGGGUAAUCAUUUGAGUGUGCGUCGUGAUGGGGAUAGAAUAUUGUAAUUAUUACUCUUCAACGAGGAAUUCCUAGUAAGCGCCAGUCAGCAGCUUGCGCUGAUUACGUCCCUGCCCUUUGUACACACCGCCCGUCGCUCCUACCGAUGGGUGAUCCGGUGAAUGAUUCGGACUUCAGCGGCUCCCCUGGGGUGCGCCGGAGAAAGUUUUGUGAACCUUAUCACUUGGAGGAAGGAGAAGUCGUAACA
This 315-nucleotide ribosomal RNA is filed under the name uncultured eukaryote. Its description in RNAcentral is "partial 18S ribosomal RNA". It matches the Rfam family "Eukaryotic small subunit ribosomal RNA", at positions 1470 to 1796 of the family's 1831-position model. The record is from RNAcentral.